GUCUUCGUGGGGUAUGGAUCUUACUCCCAUUCCAUUGCAGUGUACUCAACAAGGAAUGUUGGGAGAGUCGGUGGUUCGAAUCCACCCAAAGACA
This is a non-coding RNA of Mycena vulgaris, 94 nucleotides long. Lineage: Eukaryota; Fungi; Basidiomycota; Agaricomycetes; Agaricales; Mycenaceae. The record is from the annotation of a GenBank genome assembly.